AGCGGCGGAUGGGUGAGUAACACGUGGGGAACCUGCCCCUAAGUCUGGGAUACCAUUUGGAAACAGGUGCUAAUACCGGAUAAUAAAGCAGAUCGCAUGAUCAGCUUUUGAAAGGCGGCGUAAGCUGUCGCUAAGGGAUGGCCCCGCGGUGCAUUAGCUAGUUGGUAAGGUAACGGCUUACCAAGGCGACGAUGCAUAGCCGAGUUGAGAGACUGAUCGGCCACAUUGGGACUGAGACACGGCCCAAACUCCUACGGGAGGCAGCAGUAGGGAAUCUUCCACAAUGGACGCAAGUCUGAUGGAGCAACGUCGCGUGAGUGAAGAAGGUUUUCGGAUCGUAAAGCUCUGUUGUUGGUGAAGAAGGAUAGAGGUAGUAACUGGCCUUUAUUUGACGGUAAUCAACCAGAAAGUCACGGCUAACUACGUGCCAGCAGCCGCGGUAAUACGUAGGUGGCAAGCGUUGUCCGGAUUUAUUGGGCGUAAAGCGAGCGCAGGCGGAAAAAUAAGUCUAAUGUGAAAGCCCUCGGCUUAACCGAGGAACUGCAUCGGAAACUGUUUUUCUUGAGUGCAGAAGAGGAGAGUGGAACUCCAUGUGUAGCGGUGGAAUGCGUAGAUAUAUGGAAGAACACCAGUGGCGAAGGCGGCUCUCUGGUCUGCAACUGACGCUGAGGCUCGAAAGCAUGGGUAGCGAACAGGAUUAGAUACCCUGGUAGUCCAUGCCGUAAACGAUGAGUGCUAAGUGU
RNAcentral lists this ribosomal RNA (743 nucleotides) under uncultured bacterium. Its description in RNAcentral is "bacterial SSU rRNA". It matches the Rfam family "Bacterial small subunit ribosomal RNA", at positions 94 to 823 of the family's 1533-position model. The record is from RNAcentral.